GAUGAACGCUGGCGGCGUGCCUAAUACAUGCAAGUCGAGCGAACGGACGAGAAGCUUGCUUCUCUGAUGUUAGCGGCGGACGGGUGAGUAACACGUGGAUAACCUACCUAUAAGACUGGGAUAACUUCGGGAAACCGGAGCUAAUACCGGAUAAUAUUUUGAACCGCAUGGUUCAAAAGUGAAAGACGGUCUUGCUGUCACUUAUAGAUGGAUCCGCGCUGCAUUAGCUAGUUGGUAAGGUAACGGCUUACCAAGGCAACGAUGCAUAGCCGACCUGAGAGGGUGAUCGGCCACACUGGAACUGAGACACGGUCCAGACUCCUACGGGAGGCAGCAGUAGGGAAUCUUCCGCAAUGGGCGAAAGCCUGACGGAGCAACGCCGCGUGAGUGAUGAAGGUCUUCGGAUCGUAAAACUCUGUUAUUAGGGAAGAACAUAUGUGUAAGUAACUGUGCACAUCUUGACGGUACCUAAUCAGAAAGCCACGGCUAACUACGUGCCAGCAGCCGCGGUAAUACGUAGGUGGCAAGCGUUAUCCGGAAUUAUUGGGUGUAAAGCGCGCGUAGGCGGUUUUUUAAGUCUGAUGUGAAAGCCCACGGCUCAACCGUGGAGGGUCAUUGGAAACUGGAAAACUUGAGUGCAGAAGAGGAAAGUGGAAUUCCAUGUGUAGCGGUGAAAUGCGCAGAGAUAUGGAGGAACACCAGUGGCGAAGGCGACUUUCUGGUCUGUAACUGACGCUGAUGUGCGAAAGCGUGGGGAUCAAACAGGAUUAGAUACCCUGGUAGUCCACGCCGUAAACGAUGAGUGCUAAGUGUUAGGGGGUUUCCGCCCCUUAGUGCUGCAGCUAACGCAUUAAGCACUCCGCCUGGGGAGUACGACCGCAAGGUUGAAACUCAAAGGAAUUGACGGGGACCCGCACAAGCGGUGGAGCAUGUGGUUUAAUUCGAAGCAACGCGAAGAACCUUACCAAAUUUUGACAUCCUUUGACAACUCUAGAGAUAGAGCUUUCCCCUUCGGGGGACAAAGUGACAGGUGGUGCAUGGUUGUCGUCAGCUCGUGUCGUGAGAUGUUGGGUUAAGUCCCGCAACGAGCGCAACCCUUAAGCUUAGUUGCCAUCAUUAAGUUGGGCACUCUAAGUUGACUGCCGGUGACAAACCGGAGGAAGGUGGGGAUGACGUCAAAUCAUCAUGCCCCUUAUGAUUUGGGCUACACACGUGCUACAAUGGACAAUACAAAGGGCAGCGAAACCGUGAGGUCAAGCAAAUCCCAUAAAGUUGUUCUCAGUUCGGAUUGUAGUCUGCAACUCGACUACAUGAAGCUGGAAUCGCUAGUAAUCGUAGAUCAGCAUGCUACGGUGAAUACGUUCCCGGGUCU
This 1372-nucleotide ribosomal RNA is filed under the name uncultured bacterium. RNAcentral's name for it is "bacterial SSU rRNA". It matches the Rfam family "Bacterial small subunit ribosomal RNA", at positions 28 to 1381 of the family's 1533-position model. The record is from RNAcentral.